AACGCUGGCGCGUGCCUAACACAUGCAAGUCGAGCGGGGUUGAAGCGAGAGGUAACUCGAGCUUCUACCUAGCGGCGGACGGGUGAGUAACGCGUGGGCAACCUGCCUCAAGGUUUGGGAUAACAGCCCGAAAGGGCUGCUAAUACCGGAUAUGCCUAUGGCCUCGCAUGGGGCUAUGAGCAAAGGGGAAACCCGCCUUGAGAUGGGCCCGCGUCCCAUCAGCUAGUUGGUGAGGUAACAGCUCACCAAGGCGACGACGGGUAGCCGGCCUGAGAGGGUGACCGGCCACACUGGGACUGAGACACGGCCCAGACUCCUACGGGGGGCAGCAGUGGGGGAUCUUGCACAAUGGGCGAAAGCCUGAUGCAGCGACGCCGCGUGAGCGAAGAAGGCCUUCGGGUUGUAAAGCUCUGUCUGGAGGGACGAACAAAAUGACGGUACCUCCGGAGGAAGCCACGGCUAACUACGUG
Molecule: ribosomal RNA, 470 nt
Filed under: uncultured bacterium
Lineage: Bacteria
Description: bacterial SSU rRNA
Rfam family: Bacterial small subunit ribosomal RNA
Source: RNAcentral